Molecule: long non-coding RNA, 338 nt
Organism: Ylistrum balloti
Lineage: Eukaryota; Metazoa; Mollusca; Bivalvia; Pectinida; Pectinidae
Exons: 2
Source: RefSeq, a predicted model, not a curated record
ACGACAUCCACAUUUACAUCAGAGGGAAAACUCAACCCCUCUAUAACUGUGAUAGGAUCCAAUGUAACCGUGCCAUCAGAGGUGGUGAUACUGAACUCCAUUGUUCUACCAGACAAAGCUCUCAGUGGCAGCUACAAAAAUCAGAUCAUCUUGUGAUUUCUCAAAGAGCCUUCCCUGAUGUACACAAAGUAUUUCAUAAAUGGACCCGUUUCUAACUGGACUUCCAGCCAAAGUGGAAUUGUAUCCAGCAUGGAGAAUUUUGCAUAAUCAUAUUUAUUAAAACUUAUGAAGAUUGUUAAUUUGAGAUGAUGAUCUUAUAAAUAAAAGGUGUCUUGUGA